Molecule: ribosomal RNA, 520 nt
Filed under: Hepatozoon felis
Lineage: Eukaryota; Apicomplexa; Hepatozoidae
Description: SSU rRNA
Rfam family: Eukaryotic small subunit ribosomal RNA
Source: RNAcentral
AAUUGGAAUGAUAGAAAUUUAAACACUUUUUAAAGUAUCAAUUGGAGGGCAAGUCUGGUGCCAGCAGCCGCGGUAAUUCCAGCUCCAAUAGCGUAUAUUAAAAUUGUUGCAGUUAAAAAGCUCGUAGUUGAAUUUCUGCUAAAAAUAACCGGUCUGCUUUUAAUAAAGGUGGUAUCUUGGUGUGUUUUUAGCAAUAAUGUCCUUUGAAAUGUUUUUUACUUCAUUGUAAUAAAUUAUAUUUAGGAUUUUUACUUUGAGAAAAUUAGAGUGUUUCUAGCAGGCUAAUGCUUUGAAUACUGCAGCAUGGAAUAAUAAAAUAGGAUUUUGGUUCUACAUUAUUGGUUUUAAGAGCUAAAUUAAUGAUUGAUAGGGACAGUUGGGGGCAUUUGUAUUUAACUGUCAGAGGUGAAAUUCUUAGAUUUGUUAAAGACAAACUACUGCGAAAGCAUUUGCCAAAGAUGUUUUCAUUAAUCAAGAACGAAAGUUAGGGGAUCGAAGACGAUCAGAUACCGUCGUAGUC